GCUUCGGUGGCGUAGUGGUUAGAGUGUCUGCCUCGGAUGCGGGAGGUUGUGGGUUCGAUCCCAGUCGAAUCA
This is a non-coding RNA of Potamilus streckersoni, 72 nucleotides long. The record is from the annotation of a GenBank genome assembly. NCBI's taxonomy places the organism in Eukaryota, Metazoa, Mollusca, Bivalvia, Unionida, Unionidae.